This 780-nucleotide ribosomal RNA is filed under the name uncultured bacterium. Its description in RNAcentral is "bacterial SSU rRNA". It matches the Rfam family "Bacterial small subunit ribosomal RNA", at positions 91 to 860 of the family's 1533-position model. The record is from RNAcentral.
AUGAGUGGCGAACGGGUGAGUAACACGUGGGAAAUCUGCCUAGGAGUGGGGGAUAACAUUCGGAAACGGAUGCUAAUACCGCAUAUCUUUUUGAACCGCAUGGUUCUUAAACGAGAGACGGCUUCGGCUGUCGCUCUUAGAUGAUCCCGCGGCGUAUUAGUUAGUUGGUGGGGUAAAGGCCUACCAAGACCAUGAUACGUAGCCGACCUGAGAGGGUGAUCGGCCACACUGGGACUGAGACACGGCCCAGACUCCUACGGGAGGCAGCAGUAGGGAAUCUUCCACAAUGGGUGAAAACCUGAUGGAGCAAUGCCGCGUGAAUGAAGAAGGUCUUCGGAUCGUAAAGUUCUGUUAUUAGAGAAGAACAAGUCAAGGAGUAACUGUCUUGACUUUGACGGUACCUAACCAGAAAGUCACGGCUAACUACGUGCCAGCAGCCGCGGUAAUACGUAGGUGACAAGCGUUGUCCGGAAUUAUUGGGCGUAAAGGGAGCGCAGGCGGUUGGAAUAGUCUGAUGUGAAAGCCCACGGCUUAACCGUGGAAGGUCAUUGGAAACUGUCCAACUUGAAUACAGAAGAGGUAAGUGGAAUUCCAAGUGUAGCGGUGAAAUGCGUAGAUAUUAGGAGGAAUACCAGUGGCGAAGGCGACUUUCUGGACUUAUACUGACGCUGAGGAACGAAAGCAUGGGGAGCAAACAGGAUUAGAUACCCUGGUAGUCCAUGCCGUAAACGAUGAGUGCUAGGUGUCGGGGGUCAUACCUCGGUGCCGGAGCUAACGCAU